This 45-nucleotide non-coding RNA is filed under the name Schistosoma curassoni. The record is from RNAcentral. Lineage: Eukaryota; Metazoa; Platyhelminthes; Trematoda; Strigeidida; Schistosomatidae.
AUCCAGCUGACGAGUCCCGAAUAGGACGAAACGCGCCUACUGAAU